GAUGAACGCUGACAGAAUGCUUAACACAUGCAAGUCAACUUGAAUUUGGGUUUUUAACUUAGAUUUGGGUGGCGGACGGGUGAGUAACGCGUAAAGAACUUGCCUCACAGUUAGGGACAACAUUUAGAAAUGAAUGCUAAUACCUGAUAUUAUGAUUUUAAGGCAUCUUAGAAUUAUGAAAGCUAUAAGCACUGUGAGAGAGCUUUGCGUCCCAUUAGCUAGUUGGAGAGGUAACAGCUCACCAAGGCGAUGAUGGGUAGCCGGCCUGAGAGGGUGAACGGCCACAAGGGGACUGAGACACGGCCCUUACUCCUACGGGAGGCAGCAGUGGGGAAUAUUGGACAAUGGACCAAGAGUCUGAUCCAGCAAUUCUGUGUGCACGAUGAAGUUUUUCGGAAUGUAAAGUGCUUUCAGUUGGGAAGAAAGAAAUGACGGUACCAACAGAAGAAGUGACGGCUAAAUACGUGCCAGCAGCCGCGGUAAUACGUAUGUCACGAGCGUUAUCCGGAUUUAUUGGGCGUAAAGCGCGUCUAGGUGGUUAUGUAAGUCUGAUGUGAAAAUGCAGGGCUCAACUCUGUAUUGCGUUGGAAACUGUAUAACUAGAGUACUGGAGAGGUAAGCGGAACUACAAGUGUAGAGGUGAAAUUCGUAGAUAUUUGUAGGAAUGCCGAUGGGGAAGCCAGCUUACUGGACAGAUACUGACGCUAAAGCGCGAAAGCGUGGGUAGCAAACAGG
Molecule: ribosomal RNA, 735 nt
Filed under: uncultured Fusobacterium sp.
Lineage: Bacteria; Fusobacteriati; Fusobacteriota; Fusobacteriia; Fusobacteriales; Fusobacteriaceae
Description: bacterial SSU rRNA
Rfam family: Bacterial small subunit ribosomal RNA
Source: RNAcentral